CUACGGGUCGCUGCAGUGAGGAAUAUUGGUCAAUGGACGCAAGUCUGAACCAGCCAUGCCGCGUGUAGGAUGACGGCCCUAUGGGUUGUAAACUGCUUUUAUACGGGAAAAAUUCCUCCGACGUGUCGGAGGUUGAUGGUACCGUAAGAAUAAGCAUCGGCUAACUCCGUGCCAGCAGCCGCGGUAAUACGGAGGAUGCAAGCGUUAUCCGGAUUUAUUGGGUUUAAAGGGUGCGCAGGCGGAUUGGUAAGUCAGUGGUGAAAUCCUACAGCUUAACUGUAGAACUGCCAUUGAUACUGCUAGUCUUGAGUAUAGUUGAAGUGGGCGGAAUAUGUCAUGUAGCGGUGAAAUGCAUAGAUAUGACAUAGAACACCGAUCGCGAAGGCAGCUCACUAAACUAAUACUGACGCUCAGGCACGAAAGCGUGGGUAGCAAACAGGAUUAGAUACCCCCGUAGUC
This 459-nucleotide ribosomal RNA is filed under the name uncultured bacterium. RNAcentral's name for it is "partial 16S ribosomal RNA". It matches the Rfam family "Bacterial small subunit ribosomal RNA", at positions 339 to 795 of the family's 1533-position model. The record is from RNAcentral.